This 256-nucleotide long non-coding RNA is filed under the name Linum usitatissimum (flax). Its description in RNAcentral is "long non-coding RNA (LUSI_LNC003026)". The record is from RNAcentral. Lineage: Eukaryota; Viridiplantae; Streptophyta; Magnoliopsida; Malpighiales; Linaceae.
UUCUCCAGGCAACCGCCUGGAAACAGAGACAUCACAUACCAUACGAACGAGUCCAAUUUUGGUGUCAAUAAGCACCUUUUAUUGGCUACCGUUUGGUGUCAAUAAUCACCUUUUAUUGGCAACCUUCCAAGAGAGAUAUGGGCUGUUGAAUGGCUCUUAAAUCUCCCGACGAUUUCAGAGUCUAGAUUAAUUAGGGACAAUAUAGUCAUAUAGUAUUUAAUAAUUUUGUUGGAUCAUAGCCCAACCAUCUUCGGUU